GUGCUUGCUUGCUUCAGCAGCACAUAUACUAAAAGUGGAAUGAUACAGAAAAGAUAAGCAUGGUCCCGGAGCAAGAAUGACAUGCAAAUUCAUGAAGCAUUCCAUAUGUAU
This is a small nuclear RNA of Suricata suricatta (meerkat), 111 nucleotides long. Lineage: Eukaryota; Metazoa; Chordata; Mammalia; Carnivora; Herpestidae. The record is from Ensembl.